This 4717-nucleotide long non-coding RNA is filed under the name Vitis vinifera (wine grape). Its description in RNAcentral is "long non-coding RNA (VVIN_LNC004175)". The record is from RNAcentral. Lineage: Eukaryota; Viridiplantae; Streptophyta; Magnoliopsida; Vitales; Vitaceae.
ACUCCUAGAAGGCCUUAAUGAAACUCUAAGGUUUUCCAUCUUUUUUUCAUCGUUUCUUCUUUCUCUCUAUUUCUUUUGUUAUCUUAUUUUUCUCUACCAUAAACUUUAUUCUUUAUUCCUCUCCUUACACCCUAAAACAAAACCCUAGCCCACCUACCCUUGAGUGUAGGCAACCAUCUAGGGUUGUCCUACAUCAAUCUUGGUAUCGAAGCGAAAGUUCUUAGCUUGAAGGCAUAUGCAAUUGAGCAGAGCAACUUAUGGAAUUAUAAGUUCCAAAAAAACUUCUAACAAUCAAGAUGUCGCUACAAUACGCUUGGAGGAAAUUUCAGCCACACAACAAUUCUAUCAAGAUGCUCUAAUACAACUAAAUAGGAAACUUGAUGAGAUCAUGAAUUUAUUAGAAAAGAGUCAAGAAAAACGACCAAUUGAAGAUGAGAUUGCAAGUCAUCAAUUUAGACAAUCGCCAAGUCAAUCACGCAAAGAACAAGACAAUUUUAUGAUGGGGAAUCAAAGAAGGGGCAAACUCUUUGAGCAAGAUGAUGAUGUGACAAAAAGGGUACGCCUUGAAGUCGCUGAAUUUUAUGGAAAACUAAAUCCAACAGCUUUUCUUGAUUGGAUUAUGUCAAUGGAAGAUUACUUUGAUUGGUAUGCAAUGUUCGAAAAUAGAAAGUUCGUUUUGUGAAGGCAAAGUUGAAAGGAGCAGCAUAUCUAUGGUGACAUAAUAUUGAGAAUGAACUUCAUAGAACUGGCCAACCACCUAUAGACACAUGGGACGAGAUGAAGUUGAAGAUGAAGGAGCACUUUCUCCCAACUGAUUAUGAACAACUUAUGUAUACAAAAUUGUUUUCCCUUAAACAAGGUAACAAUUUUGUAUUAAGCAAGGUAACAAGUGUGGGAAAGUGUGGGAAAGUGAUGCUUAGCUUGCAGCCCAUUAUAAAGUUGGACUUCAAAUGGAGAUUCAACUUGAGAUGAUAGUUGCACACACUUAUACCGUAGACGAUGUUUAUCAACUAGCCCUCAAAAUAGAAGAAGGCCUUAAAUUUCGGGUUUCCAAAACAUCCAAGUUCACAAAUAGGGAGCACUUUCUCCAACCGAACAGCAAACAAACCUUUAAGCACAUCAAGCUUCAAAACUUCUAAUCAUGCGAAUGGUGCAGGCAACACUCAACAGACUUCGAAUAUGGCUCAUAAAGAUGGGUAAUAAGGGUAAAACUUUAAUGAGUAUUGAAGAUAGAAAAGUAGACAUAACUCCUUUAUGCUUUAAGUAUGGUGGGCAUGAUCAUUAUGUUGUUGUGUGCCCAACCAAAGGUUUACACUUUUGUGUUGAAGAACCAGAAUUUGAAUUGGAGAGUUACCCAAAGGAAGGAGAGACCCACAAUGAAGAUGAAAUUAAUGAAGAAUGUGACUACUAUGAUGGUAUGACGAAAGUGUCAAAAUAUUGUGUGAAUGGCCGAAUACCUUGGCCUUGAGUUUUGUAUAUUAUAUAUAGACUUUACAAGGAUGCUAUACAUGGAAAGCAAAUAAAAGCAAAUAAUUUCCCUCAUGAUUCUAGUCCUAUACAUGUAAACUAUAAUCUAUUAAAUAAUAUAUGCUAACUGUACAGAAUAAUAAAUGGAGAAAUAAGGAAACAAUUGUAGGCUAAAAUAAGGAAAGAAGUGUGGGUUAAAAUAAGGAAAGAAGUGUGGACAGCAAAGCUGUCCUUUGACAGCCCCCCUCAAAUUGAUGCAGGUUGAUCAACAAGCAUCAAUUUGCCACUUAGCAAGCAAUGUCGAUGACGAGGGAGAGCUUUGGUGAAGAUAUCAGCAAUUUGUAAGUCAGUAGAAAUAUGUGGAAGAGUGAUAACACGAGCUUCAAAGGCUUCACAGAUAGAGUGACAAUCCACUUCAAUAUGCUUUGUGCGCUCAUGAUAGACAGGAUUGGUCGUGAUCUGAAUAGCACUUGUAUUAUCGGCAUGUAGAGGUGUAGGAUCGGUCUCAAAAAAAUCUAACUCCGCAAGCAAACCUCGAAGCCAAAUGAUUUCAGAACAAGCAAGAGACAUCGCCCAGUACUCAGAUUCCGUAGAUGACUUAGAGACUCUGUCUUGCUUCUUACUUUUCACAAACAUCUUAAACUAAAGCUGGGCUAGAGUCCGAGAGCCCCUAGGGCUAAAUCCGAGAGCCCCUAGGGCUAAAUCAGAGAGCCCCUAGGGCUAAAUCAGAGAGCCCCUAGGGCUAAAUCAGAGAGCCCCUAGGGCUAAAUCCGAGAGCCCUUAGGGCUAAAUCAGAGAGCCCCUAGGGCUAAAUCAAAGAGCCCCUAGGGCUAAAUCCGAGAGCCCUUAGGGCUAAACCCGAGAGCCCCUAGGGCUAAAUCAAAGAGCCCCUAGGGCUAAAUCCGAGAGCCCCUAGGGCUAAAUCCGAGAGCCCCUAGGGCUAAAUCCGAGAGCCCUUAGGGCUAAAUCCGAGAAAACCCAAAGAAAAACCUAGAAAGCGUGUAAACUCUAGGUUCAAAAUACAAGCUCUGAUACCAUGUCAAAAUAUUGUGUGAAUGGCCGAAUACCUUGGCCUUGAGUUUUGUAUAUUAUAUAUAGACUUUACAAGGAUGCUAUACAUGGAAAGCAAAUAAAAGCAAAUAAAUUCCCUCAUGAUUCUAGUCCUAUACAUGUAAACUAUAAUCUGUCAAAUAAUAUAUGCUAACUAUAUAGAAUAAUAAAUGGAGAAAUAAGGAAACAAUUGUAGGCUAAAAUAAGGAAAGAAGUGUGGGUUAAAAUAAGGAAAGAAGUGUGGACAGCAAAGCUGUCCUUUGACAGGAAGGACAUAGUCUUGUAGUGCAACCUUUAUUAGUUGUCCCAAAGGUAAAAGGAGAAGAAGAUUGACGACGUACUAGCAUUUUCCAAACACGUAUUUCUUGCCAAGGGAGAUUAUGCACCAUGAUCAUUGAUGGAGGUAGCAGUUUGAACAUAGCUUCGUAAGAACUUGUUGAGAAGUUAAACCUUAAAACAGAAAGACAUCCCCUAAUCCAUUCCGAGUAGCAUGGGUUAAUGACACCUCUAUCCCAGUAAGUUUUCACUACUUUGUAACAUUCCCUUUUAGUAAGGACUUUGAAGAGUUUGUAUGGUGUGAGGUUUUACCCAUAAAAGCAAGUCCUAUUUUGCUUGGAAGACCAUGGCUUGUUUUAUGAAAAGGUCCAACAUGAUGGAUAUGAAAACACUUAAGACACUUGUGUGCAACGGGAGUAAGAAGAUCCUCCAUCCAAUGAAGGAAAUUCCACCACUUAGGCAGCCAAAGGAAAAAUUAGCAUCCUUGAAACUAGAAGAGCCAUCAUACUCUUAUUAAGAAGCAAGUCGAAGUUACUAGUAAGGAGGAAGAAAUCAUCAAUGAUGAAUCUAGAAUGCAAGAGGUGAUGGAACUAAUCCUAGGUCAACCAAUAAAAAAGCUCAAAGAAGUUGUAGAAGCUUCAGAAGUACCAAUGUUUGACUUCACAAGGCAAGACAUUAUCAUGGUUGAGCAAACAUGAUGAAUUUGCUGAAAUUUAUUUUGAAUAUAGGGAAUUCAAAACUCUUAUUCCUCUACAAGACAAUUUACAAAAAGAGUAUGGGAAGCAACUCUCCACAAGCUUGUUGAAGACACAUAAUUAUUUCGAGAAUUAUCAACUUGUUUUACAACAUCAAAAAGUUUUUCGAAGUCUAGUAUGUCUUGCAUGAAAUUGAACAAGUUCAAGAGAUAUUGAGAUCCUGUCUUAGCACGAUAAAGAGACGACAAAGAAAGAAAUGGUGGAAGGCAUUGCUUGGAAUUUCAAUUGACCGUGGAAAAUCAUCUAAAACUCGAGGUCAAGUUUUUUUCAAGUUGGGGGGAAUUGAUGAGGAUGAAUCCCUAAGAUAUAUAUCAAGAGAGGGAAUUAGAGUCAAAUUAGUAUUAGUUGGAAUUAAAUUAGGAUUAGCUAAUUAAGUUAUAAUAUAAUUAGAAUUUGAGUCAUGAUAGGUUAUUAGAGUCUUAGUAGACUUUGGAUUUCUUAGAGAAACCUAUAAAUAAGUUAAUCACUGUAAAUCAAAUAGAUGAAUUGAUUAAUAUUAAAAAUAUUAUUUUUUUCAUUGCAACUGUUGCAAUCCUCAAUGGUGAGACUCUAUUGAUUUUCUUCUAGGUGAGACUCCUAGAAGGCCUUAGUGAGACUCUAAGAUCUUCCAUCUUUUCUUCAUCGUUUCUUCUUUCUCUCUAUUUCUUUUUUAUCUUAUUUUUCUCUACCAUAAACUUUAUUCUUUAUUCCUCUCCUUACAACCUAAAACAAAACCCUAACCCACCUACUUUUGAGUGUAGGCAACCAUCCUAGGGUUGUCCUACAUCAUGCGGACUUCUAACUGUUGACAAAACAACCAAUCACCACAUUCCAAGACGCAACAUGUAUCUAGACAUCUCCUCAAACAAUCUCCACAUGGUUCUACAAUUUCCAAUCAUAGGACAACUCCAAAUCAUUAGUUCCAAGAAACAACUUUUCUACUCAACAUUUCAUCAUAGAUAUGUCCCACAUUCCCUCAUUCACAACACACGCCAAGUUGAUUUAACAUUAUCAUGAUCCUAUCACAUGCAAUUCAAGCAUCCACAUUUGAACAGGCUCUGUAAUUGCUUCCAAAUGAUGUUUUAAGCUUUGAAAAUUAAUUUCCAGCAAAAUAAAUUAAUGGCUAAUAUAAAUAACACAUGCUUUGAAACUGAAGAAAGAGUACAGAAAAUGGUGUCUGAAGCCAAAAC